RNAcentral lists this transfer RNA (88 nucleotides) under Desulfobacteraceae bacterium. RNAcentral describes it as "tRNA-Ser". It matches the Rfam family "tRNA". Rfam says of the family: Transfer RNA (tRNA) molecules are approximately 80 nucleotides in length. The record is from RNAcentral. Lineage: Bacteria; Pseudomonadati; Thermodesulfobacteriota; Desulfobacteria; Desulfobacterales; Desulfobacteraceae.
GGAAGGUUGACCGAGAGGAAUGGUGCCGGAUUGCUAAUCCGAGGCCAGGGUAACACCUGCACAGGUUCAAAUCCUGUACCUUCCGCCA